AUGGAUGUGCAGAUUGAUUUUAUCAGGAUGUUCGAAUGCAUUAUUUCUUCAACUUUGUGGUUUAAAAUUAUUUUUCACAUACAUGAUGUAGGCAACUUUGAAUCUUGGAGCCUUAGCAAGGGCACAUGCAAGUUACUGUUUCCAAUGGUUACGAGCAUCUCCUAUUUGCAAGACGAUGACAAGCAUGUUUCUGAAGAUGUGAAUAUCAGGGAUCUAGAUAUGACAAGCUGCGAGGCAAAUGGUCUUCAGCUUUACCGACCUCCACAAAGGCUGAACCAUGUUUAUCUGCUAGAGAUGGGAAAUUGGACAUUCUGA
Molecule: ribosomal RNA, 315 nt
Filed under: Triticum aestivum (bread wheat)
Lineage: Eukaryota; Viridiplantae; Streptophyta; Magnoliopsida; Poales; Poaceae
Description: partial small subunit ribosomal RNA
Source: RNAcentral